Molecule: long non-coding RNA, 1005 nt
Filed under: Trifolium pratense (red clover)
Lineage: Eukaryota; Viridiplantae; Streptophyta; Magnoliopsida; Fabales; Fabaceae
Description: long non-coding RNA (TPRA_LNC004265)
Source: RNAcentral
ACAGAAUCAAAUAUCAAACUCACAACUCAGAUUUCAGACCACAGUACUUUCGUCACACUCAGGUUCAACAAGAUGAAGGUCUUGACAGCAGGUUUGUUGCACACAGAAGUCUUGGCGGCACAUCGUACUUGCACUUUGUCCCCAAUCUCGUCGCAGUUCAUGUGUGCAACCAUGACAUGAAUUUUAUGCAUGAGGGUGCAAAAUCAGCAUUCAUCUCAGAAUGACACGGCUGUAUAUGAAGGAGAAGGGCCCUGGAAUACAUGUUCUAGAAUAGCAUACAUCUAAGCUUGUACUAUAAAUACAUGUUCCAUAAAUAAUAUAAACCAAAAUUGAAGAUAAAUACUCAUCCAAAAAUGCAAAAUCAGUAAUUAUAAAGAUCCAAGCUUGUACCUGUUGUGUACAAUUCAAGUCUUUGGAAUCACAAAGUCAAAGUUUCACUUAAACCAGCACUGUCCCAAUUCACUUUCUAUAGUAGCGAAAAGUUUCUCCGUAAUUCCAUUAUUAAUUCCUGAUAUAAAACCUACCAAAGUUGUUGUAUUAAAAUUUACCAGAUCACUCCACCAAAAUGAUUCUUUGACUCAAGUUUCCUACAAGUAUUAAAGAUCUAUUCCAUAAGACAUAUGUAAAUAGACAUACUAACCAUCUCUAACUGGGACAGCAAUAUAAGUGUCAUGCUUGUGCUUGUUGUGUGUACAACUCCACAGUCUAAAGAAACACCUUAAUUGACAAUAAUUGACUUUAUUAUAUGGCUGGAGCAAGUGUAGUACAAUUUGUAAACUCCUAACCCAACAAUAUUUCCAAGACAACCGUAACAAAUAUAUUCAUUCACUUCCCCACAAAUUUCAAACUCACCAAUAUCCCAAUCUUUGAAGUAUGAACACACUUAACAAAAGAAAUAACAAUAACAAAAUAACCAUCUUACCUAGUUUCAAUCUUACGAUAGACCUUUUGCGAUAAUUUCACGUAGAAGUUUCUCUGCCUUAUCAUUUUCACCUUUAUUAAACA